Molecule: ribosomal RNA, 497 nt
Filed under: uncultured bacterium
Lineage: Bacteria
Description: partial 16S ribosomal RNA
Rfam family: Bacterial small subunit ribosomal RNA
Source: RNAcentral
GAUGAACGCUGGCGGCGUGCCUAAUACAUGCAAGUCGAGCGAACGGACGAGAAGCUUGCUUUUCUGAUGUUAGCGGCGGACGGGUGAGUAACACGUGGAUAACCUACCUAUAAGACUGGGAUAACUUCGGGAAACCGGAGCUAAUACCGGAUAAUAUUUUGAACCGCAUGGUUCAAAAGUGAAAGACGGUCUUGCUGUCACUUAUAGAUGGAUCCGCGCUGCAUUAGCUAGUUGGUAAGGUAACGGCUUACCAAGGCAACGAUGCAUAGCCGACCUGAGAGGGUGAUCGGCCACACUGGAACUGAGACACGGUCCAGACUCCUACGGGCGGCAGCAGUAGGGAAUCUUCCGCAAUGGGCGAAAGCCUGACGGAGCAACGCCGCGUGAGUGAUGAAGGUCUUCGGAUCGUAAAACUCUGUUAUUAGGGAAGAACAUAUGUGUAAGUAACUGUGCACAUCUUGACGGUACCUAAUCAGAAAGCCACGGCUAACUACGUG